RNAcentral lists this transfer RNA (63 nucleotides) under Clostridia bacterium. RNAcentral's name for it is "tRNA-OTHER". It matches the Rfam family "tRNA". From Rfam's summary of the family: Transfer RNA (tRNA) molecules are approximately 80 nucleotides in length. Their secondary structure includes four short double-helical elements and three loops (D, anti-codon, and T loops). The record is from RNAcentral. Lineage: Bacteria; Bacillati; Bacillota; Clostridia.
GCCCAUGUAGCUUAAGGGAGAGCGUUGGUGACAAAGGCGUCGGUUGGAAUCCGUCUAAGGGCA